AUUGAACGCUGGCGGCAGGCCUAACACAUGCAAGUCGAACGGUAACAGGAAGAAGCUUGCUUCUUUGCUGACGAGUGGCGGACGGGUGAGUAAUGUCUGGGAAACUGCCUGAUGGAGGGGGAUAACUACUGGAAACGGUAGCUAAUACCGCAUAACGUCGCAAGACCAAAGAGGGGGACCUUCGGGCCUCUUGCCAUCGGAUGUGCCCAGAUGGGAUUAGCUAGUAGGUGGGGUAACGGCUCACCUAGGCGACGAUCCCUAGCUGGUCUGAGAGGAUGACCAGCCACACUGGAACUGAGACACGGUCCAGACUCCUACGGGAGGCAGCAGUGGGGAAUAUUGCACAAUGGGCGCAAGCCUGAUGCAGCCAUGCCGCGUGUAUGAAGAAGGCCUUCGGGUUGUAAAGUACUUUCAGCGGGGAGGAAGGGAGUAAAGUUAAUACUUUUGCUCAUUGACGUUACCCGCAGAAGAAGCACCGGCUAACUCCGUG
This 490-nucleotide ribosomal RNA is filed under the name uncultured bacterium. RNAcentral's name for it is "partial 16S ribosomal RNA". It matches the Rfam family "Bacterial small subunit ribosomal RNA", at positions 30 to 507 of the family's 1533-position model. The record is from RNAcentral.